GGGGGGGGCCCGAGGGAGCGCACCUCGGGGAGACACCCUCCUCUCCUGCCGGCCUGCGGGACACGGCCCUCCCCCACCUCCCCUGCUCGGCCGUCGCAGGUGUGGGCGCCUCCGGGCCCUGGCUAGCCCGUUCAGGGUCUCUUUUACAUUGGUUAGUUGAGCCAACUCUUUCCAACCUGGACUGCUGACCUGUGACCUCCCAUUAUUCAAACCAAGGCUGACCUAUGUGGGCAUCUGGAGACCCUUGGCCUUGUUGCUUCACUUAUCCACAUCACCUUCUGAAAUCAAGAUACUUCAUCAAGUUUCAGCUUAAAUGUCAUCUCUUCAAUGGAGUCCUUUCUUGGCUACCUCACAUAAGGGAAAACACAUCCAGAGAGAUGGGGAUGUUCUUGGGAUGAGGUGCUCAUCUCAACUCUGCUGGGAAGACAAGACGCCAACACUCCCUCACAACUCACCCUGUGCUGGGGUAAGAGUACAAAUCAAGAGACACUGCUGCAUGAAUCAAGAUAAGAGCUAGGAAAAAAUCAUGUAUCCUGAGAGAGAAAAGGUACCCUGACACCAAGCCUAAACCCCUAAAUCCAGCCUAGCACUAACAGGGAUAAGGAGGCUCCUUCCAGCUGGAAACAGAACAGCCCUCGUAGAGUUAUUUAUCGCUCGCCUACCAUGUUUAUUAUUGUUUGAGAGCCAGAGAAAGUGGCUGUGUUUACAGCAGGUUAAAGGGAUAUCAGAACACUCCACACAGGAUUCUUGAGGCUCCUAGAGCCCGACAGAGAUUAGAAAGCGUAGAGAUGCCCCUCCUAGACCCACACAUAUUCUCUAAUUACACUUCGUGUGUGUGUUUAUCCAGGGACUGUGAGCUUCUUGGAGAUAGGGGUGAUGCUUUAUAUCCUGUACAUCCUCUCCCAAUCGUCCUUUAGAGGAAAUGAGACUUAUGAAGCAGGAGCUCCAUAAAUAUUUGUGAAACGAGCUCAGUCAGAGAACUGAAUCCGUCCUGACCAGCAGUAAAAGCAGCUCACUCUUCAGCUGAUACUAUUCAGAAUCUAGUAGAUGAGGAGCUAGAGUAGCCAGGGAAGGGGGAAGACAAGUUCAAGGAGAUGCUGCUCCCAGCCCUCCCAGUGGGGUGAGGAGGGUAGCAUCACCUUUCACAGAACAAGGGACUCCAUCUGUUAAAAUCAUUUUUUUUUUUCAAAUUUCUCACUAAGAUUUUUUGAACAUGGUGGUCAAAUCCCCACCAUUUCUCAUUUUAGACAUAAGGCUUAAAAAUAUUUUUUUAAAGGAAUAUAUGCAGGUCCCCUUGCACAGGGCCUGGAAUAUGCCCCCAGGUGCUGGUUUCCUUCUCAUUUUCCCAGUCCUGUGGACUUUAAUUCAUGGAAGUUGCAGUAACCUGAUGCAGAUUCUUUCCUGAAAGCACAAUUUGGCAGGAAAAAGGAGGAGGAGGGCCAAGGAGACAUGUCAGUGAGGAACUCAGGGAAAGGUACUGUUUUGGUGAAUGCUAUAGUUUGGUAGCAAAAAAAAAAAAAAAAAAAAAAAAA
Molecule: long non-coding RNA, 1532 nt
Filed under: Canis lupus familiaris (dog)
Lineage: Eukaryota; Metazoa; Chordata; Mammalia; Carnivora; Canidae
Description: lncRNA (ENSCAFG00845027246.1)
Rfam family: WT1 antisense RNA conserved region 1 (bases 33-135)
Source: RNAcentral